RNAcentral lists this transfer-messenger RNA (361 nucleotides) under Campylobacteraceae. RNAcentral's name for it is "Campylobacter_B hominis Standard tmRNA". It matches the Rfam family "transfer-messenger RNA". From Rfam's summary of the family: Bacterial tmRNA, also known as 10Sa RNA or SsrA, is named for its dual tRNA and mRNA-like properties. Its role is to liberate the mRNA from a stalled ribosome. RNAcentral also lists the same sequence under 2 other names. The record is from RNAcentral. Lineage: Bacteria; Pseudomonadati; Campylobacterota; Epsilonproteobacteria; Campylobacterales.
GGGGGUGACUUGGUUUCGACAGGAGCAGAUAGGUCACGGUGGCAUGUCGCUGCGGAAUCAGCGUAAAAAUUCCAAACUAAAUUUAAACGCAAAUAACGCGAAAUUCGCUCCUGCUUACGCUAAAAUAGCGUAAGUUCAGUUGAGCCUUGCUGCUGCUGAUGCUGUUUAGGUAGCGUGCGAGUAAUUUAAACAGCUUGGUUUUGCGCUUUGGCUAAGUGCAAACUGAAAUUUUUGCCUUUGCUUGCAAAUUUUACUUUGGAAAGCAAGUAAUUUGUAAGCGAGAUUUUUCGCUUUCACUAAACAUGUAGAGGCUUUGGUCAUUUGUUUUUGGACUGCGGUUCAAUCCCGCACACCUCCACCA